UUGAACGCUGGCGGCAUGCCUUACACAUGCAAGUCGAACGGCAGCACGGGAGCACUCCUGGUGGCGAGUGGCGAACGGGUGAGUAAUAUAUCGGAACGUGCCCAGUCGUGGGGGAUAACGCAGCGAAAGCUGUGCUAAUACCGCAUACGAUCUACGGAUGAAAGCAGGGGAUCGCAAGACCUUGCGCUUUAGGAGCGGCCGAUGUCGGAUUAGCUAGUUGGUGAGGUAAAGGCUCACCAAGGCGACGAUCCGUAGCGGGUCUGAGAGGAUGAUCCGCCACACUGGGACUGAGACACGGCCCAGACUCCUACGGGAGGCAGCAGUGGGGAAUUUUGGACAAUGGGCGCAAGCCUGAUCCAGCCAUGCCGCGUGAGUGAAGAAGGCCUUCGGGUUGUAAAGCUCUUUCGGCGGGGAAGAAAUCGCACUGGUUAAUACCUGGUGUGGAUGACGGUACCCGAAUAAGAAGCACCGGCUAACUACGU
Molecule: ribosomal RNA, 482 nt
Filed under: uncultured bacterium
Lineage: Bacteria
Description: bacterial SSU rRNA
Rfam family: Bacterial small subunit ribosomal RNA
Source: RNAcentral